AGACCCGAAACCCGGUGAUCUAGCCAUGGGCAGGUUGAAGGUUGGGUAACACUAACUGGAGGACCGAACCGACUAAUGUUGAAAAAUUAGCGGAUGACCUGUGGCUGGGGGUGAAAGGCCAAUCAAACCGGGAGAUAGCUGGUUCUCCCCGAAAGCUAUUUAGGUAGCGCCUCGUGAACUCAUCUCCGGGGGUAGAGCACUGUUUCGGCUAGGGGGCCAUCCCGGCUUACCAACCCGAUGCAAACUGCGAAUACCGGAGAAUGUUAUCACGGGAGACACACGGCGGGUGCUAACGUCCGUCGUGAAGAGGGAAACAACCCAGACCGCCAGCUAAGGUCCCAAAGUCAUGGUUAAGUGGGAAACGAUGUGGGAAGGCCCAGACAGCCAGGAUGUUGGCUUAGAAGCAGCCAUCAUUUAAAGAAAGCGUAAUAGCUCACUGGUCGAGUCGGCCUGCGCGGAAGAUGUAACGGGGCUAAACCAUGCACCGAAGCUGCGGCAGCGACACUGUGUGUUGUUGGGUAGGGGAGCGUUCUGUAAGCCGUUGAAGGUGUCCU
Molecule: ribosomal RNA, 554 nt
Filed under: Salmonella enterica
Lineage: Bacteria; Pseudomonadati; Pseudomonadota; Gammaproteobacteria; Enterobacterales; Enterobacteriaceae
Description: partial 23S ribosomal RNA
Rfam family: Bacterial large subunit ribosomal RNA
Source: RNAcentral